CUUCACAUAAGAUAAUUCCUCACUGGCCAAUUCAUACCAUUAUUCUGCAUUUAGGUUUUAAAACAUGGAAAGUUCCUUUUAAAAGCCAAAACAUCCUUUUUAAAUAUCCAAAGGCCUCUAUCAUUUAUUCAUUCAUUCUACAACUAUUCUUGAGCACCCACUAUGCACUGGGCCCUGCCUCUCGGUCACCGCCAAUAUCGAGCUUACAUGCGGGUGAGAGAGACAGACAAGGAACAACAGCCGCAUGGCCAGGGGUCUCUCCAGGGCUCUUGGUACUCCAGUGCCUCCCUGCACCCAGCCAUCCUCAAAGCAACAUUGGUAUGAAUGAGGCUGAGACUCACAGAGAAAGACAAUAGUGGACAAAACAAAGUCGUGGCUCCCUGCAGGCUGACAGCCUAGUACAGGGAGCUAAGAACACAUAACAGAUGAAUAGCUAUACACACACCAGGUAGUUAUAAAUGCCAUGAAAAAUAAGACAGAUAAGAGGAGUACAGAAUGAUGAAGGGCUUGCUAUUUUAUAUACGAUGGUCAAGAAAGUCUCUGAUUAAGUGUCAUUUGAGCAGAGAAUGUGCUAGGAAGCUCUAUGGAGGAACAGCAUUCCAGGGAGAUGGAAUCACAAAUGCAAAGAUUCCGAGGUGGAAGCAUGCUUGCUUUGUUCCGGGAACACAAGGAAGUCAGUGUGUCUAGAGGGGUGCACAGGGAGUGGCACGGCAAAGGGAAUUGCCCCUCAGGAGCAGAGGGUUAUGUCAGAGGGGAGGCGCGAACCAGGUCGCAUAGCACAUUCUAGGAUGUAAUGAGUGUGGAUUCUAUGUUGCCAUGGGAAGCCAGCAUCCUUGCACGAGGUGGUUAAGUGCUGAGAGAAGAUAAAUCAGAUUAAGGGGCUAGAGAGAGACUGGAAGCCUGGGGAAGCUAUUUGAAACAAACGGGCAGAGGAGCUCUCUCUGAGGAAGUGACUUUAGGGCUGAGUCUUGAAAUAUCUGAAGUAGCGACCAUGCAGAUUUCUGGGAUAAGCCAGUUCCAGGCAGAAAAAAUAGCACUGAAGUGGGAAUAAGCAUCACAUAUCCUGGAAAGAGCAAGAAGGUCAGCGUGGCCAGGGCACAAUACCAGAGGAAGCAGGGGGAGGAGGCCAGCCCUGUGGAGGCCGUGGGACGGUACUUGGCUUUUAUUCUAAAUACACUGGGAAGAUUUUCGAGGACUGUAAGUAGAAAUGACAUGCUUGCUUGUUUUUCGAGGGAACUGGCUGAAAACCCAGUAGAUUUUGGUGGCUGUUCUUGACUAAGAAGAGUGUGGAACAAAGUCACAGAGCCACGGCCCCAGACAAGACCUGGAUGAAGCGCUACAGCCUGGUAGUGCCAAGACUGGGAGGGAAACAGAAGAGCACUAUGAGACAGAAUCCAGAAGCAAGGAGAGGAAGGAAAGGCCUUGGACCCCCUAAGGAGAAGGAGGGUAAACACACAGGAGCAGGAUUGCUGGGUCAUAUGAAUGCACAUUUUUCCCCCUGGAUUGCAAAUAAUCUGAACCAGGGUAAAACCAUUACAAAGUGGCCUUCAAACAUCAUGUCUGUAUUGGAACUGAAUGAUUGAUCAGACAUUUAAAUACGGAAACUGGGAAUUCAGCUGACCAGAAUUUCACCAGGGUGACAUGACAGUUUGUUGCUAAGGAACUGAAGACUAUGUCAUAAGUGAGCAUUCUGAUGAAGAGGAGUGAACAGUUUGCAGCAGAUUGGAUAUUAAGUAUAAAUCAGCUCUCUGUGUAUGUCCUUGUGUGGUGGUAUAACUGACAACAGGUAGGGUUCCUGAUGGGAUUGGGUUCCACCAAUCAGAGCCACUUGCAUGAGACCUCAACUGAGAGCCAGGUGUUUGAAGAGGAGGGGCUCACUCUAAAUCUUGAAGAUGUUCAGCCUCGAAAAAGUAGAAGUCAUUGUGACCAAAGAUGAUGCCACCAUGCCUUUGAAAAAGAAAGGUGAUGAGCCUCAAAUGGAAAAAUACAUUCAAGAAAGGUCAAUGCUAGUGAGUAUGAAUGAACACAUAGCAAAAAUUUCAGGUAGAACAGCCAUGCCAAGGGCUGGUGGGACAGGUGAGGCCGAGUGAAUAAAAAGAAGUAGCCCCAGAGACACUCAAGGUGGUUCCAGCUGCUUUUGAAGGAGGUUUCUUUCUAAGAGGUGGCUGGGCUUGGUUUCAGCGUAUUCCAAUUUGGGACUCAUGAACUGCAACUAAUAAAGAUCAAAA
Molecule: long non-coding RNA, 2228 nt
Filed under: Homo sapiens (human)
Lineage: Eukaryota; Metazoa; Chordata; Mammalia; Primates; Hominidae
Description: HSALNT0088532
Source: RNAcentral